RNAcentral lists this ribosomal RNA (371 nucleotides) under uncultured organism. RNAcentral describes it as "bacterial SSU rRNA". It matches the Rfam family "Bacterial small subunit ribosomal RNA", at positions 526 to 896 of the family's 1533-position model. The record is from RNAcentral.
CAGAGGGUGCAAGCGUUAAUCGGAAUUACUGGGCGUAAAGCGUGCGUAGACGGUUACAUAAGUCGGGUGUGAAAGCCCCGGGCUCAACCUGGGAAUUGCAUUCGAGACUGCGUAGCUAGGGUACGGUAGAGGGAAGCGGAAUUUCCGGUGUAGCGGUGAAAUGCGUAGAUAUCGGAAGGAACACCAGUGGCGAAAGCGGCUUCCUGGACCAGUACCGACGUUCAGGCACGAAAGCGUGGGGAGCAAACAGGAUUAGAUACCCUGGUAGUCCACGCCAUAAACGAUGAGAACUAGACGUUGAAGGGGUAAGCCCUCCAGUGUCGUAGCUAACGCGCUAAGUUCUCCGCCUGGGGAGUACGGCCGCAAGGUUG